CCCUCCUCCCGGACCGACCCGGCCGGGCCCGGCCCGCGACGUGCGGUGACCUCCCCCUACCCCUUUUCCUUCCCCCUCUUUCCCUCGCCCCUCCCUAGCCGGGCCACCGCCAUCGCCUCGGACCUGGGACCCGCUUCUUCUUCGGUCGCUUUCGAACUAAAGCAUCAAGACACAAUGGGGGCAUUUUUAGACAAGCCAAAGAUGGAAAAGCAUAAUGCCCAAGGACAAGGUAAUGGGCUACGUUAUGGGCUAAGCAGUAUGCAAGGUUGGCGAGUUGAAAUGGAAGAUGCACAUACAGCUGUGAUUGGUUUGCCUAGUGGACUUGAAGGAUGGUCAUUCUUUGCUGUGUAUGAUGGGCAUGCUGGUUCCCAGGUUGCCAAAUACUGCUGUGAGCAUUUGUUAGAUCAUAUCACAAAUAACCAGGAUUUUAAAGGAUCUGAAGGACCACCUUCUGUGGAAAAUGUCAAGAAUGGAAUCAGAACAGGUUUUCUGCAGAUUGAUGAACAUAUGAGAAUAAUAUCAGAGAAGAAACAUGGUGCAGACCGAAGUGGGUCAACGGCAGUAGGUGUCCUGAUUUCUCCCCAACAUACAUAUUUCAUCAACUGUGGAGACUCAAGAGGUUUACUUUGUAGGAACAGGAAAGUUCAUUUCUUCACACAAGAUCACAAACCAAGUAAUCCUUUGGAAAAAGAACGUAUUCAGAAUGCAGGUGGUUCUGUAAUGAUUCAGCGUGUGAAUGGCUCUCUUGCUGUAUCGAGGGCACUUGGAGACUUUGAUUACAAAUGUGUCCAUGGUAAAGGUCCUACAGAGCAGCUUGUCUCUCCAGAGCCAGAAGUCUAUGAAAUUGAAAGAUCAGAAAAAGAUGAUCAGUUUAUCAUCCUCGCAUGUGAUGGUAUCUGGGAUGUUAUGGGAAAUGAAGAGCUCUGUGAUUUUGUAAGAUCCAGACUUGAAGUCACUGAUGACCUUGAGAGAGUGUGUAACGAAGUAGUGGACACCUGUUUAUAUAAGGGAAGUCGAGACAACAUGAGUGUGAUAUUGAUCUGUUUUCCAAGUGCACCAAAAGUAUCACCAGAGGCAGUGAAGAAAGAGACAGAAUUGGACAAGUACCUGGAAAGCAGAGUAGAAGAAAUCAUAAAGAAGCAGGGCGAAGGCGUACCAGACUUAGUCCAUGUGAUGCGCACAUUAGCAACUGAGAACAUCCCAAACCUCCCACCAGGGGGUGAACUGGCAAGCAAGCGGAGUUUAAUUGAAGCCGUUUACAAUAGACUGAAUCCUUUCAGAAAUGAUGACACUGUAAGUACUAUCUUCUCUCCUCUCACUGCCUCUUCCCCUCCUCUCUAAAUGCAUAUCCUUCCUACCUGUUUUUGCAGAGCUGUUCACUGCACCCAUUCUCUUACACACACCCCUGAUUGAUUGCUCUGAAUUCUGCUUGCUCUGAUCUCUGCCUGAACAACAGUUCUAGUGAUUGAGGACAUAAUCAUGGACUCUACAUCAGCUGAUGAUAUGUGGUAAAAACUUCUCAUCUAGCCUGGAGUUUACCUUCAUCCUCCCAAGGAAGUACAUACAGCCCAACUUCAUUGAACCUUCUUAACAUCCAUCUUCAAUAUUAAAGAAGGGGAAUACUAUAAGGGUGAGCAAGAUGACACCACAGAACUACAGCAGUACAACAACUAGCCCAGAACUGAUCCUUUUAUUUUUAUUUUAUUUUUUUUUUAUAAAAUUGAGACUUAUGUAAACGUGAUUUCAAACCAUAAUUCAUUUUGUAAAUCAGACUUCAGCAAUUUUUGUUGUAUGAUUUUUUUUUUUUUUUUGGUAAAGUGCAAUUGUCCUUGUACAAAAUGCUCAUAUUUAAUUAUGAACUGCUUUUAAAAUCCCUAUCAAAGUUUAAAAUGUUCGGCUUGUUGUGUGAUGCAACAGAUAAGUGGGUAGCCCUUUAAAUUCAUGUUGUGUUUUGGAAUUGGGGUGGGGGUGGGGGAAGCGGCAGCCUGGCCAGUGAGAUGCUCAAAAAAUACACAUGAUUAUGAAGAAUAAUUUCAAAAAUCUUACAGAGAUGAACAUCCAUGAAGUUAUUUCAAACAUCUUUAAUUCUCUUGGUAGUGAGCUAGCAUAAGAAUAUAUAGCUAGUUCAUUCAUAAACUCUUUCAGGAUGUUUUUUUCCUUGUUGCCGCUUAUUAUUUCAGGUAAUAGUGUAUUCAUAAGAAUAUUGAUCUUGGGGCUAAAAUGCCUUGAUUCUUUGCACCUCUUUUGCAAGUCCUUACAUUAAAUUACUAAUUGAUGAGGAACAGCUUCCUACAUAGAGUAGGAAUCUGUAGCAUUUUUACUAUCAUGAUUGGCUGGGCCUUGCUGCUGUUCCUAGUAAAAUAUUCUGAACUCCAUUUUAUCAAUAAAGCUUGAUUUUAACAAACAAGACAUUUAAUCAUGUAUGUGUAAUUCCUCUUUUUCUCCCCCUGCCUUUUAAAAUGCCGUGUCAUUGUAAAUGAGGGGUUUAAGGUAUGUAGAUAUGAAAACCCAUUUUUAAAAUGGAAUGCAAUGUUGCCCAAGGCAUAGAUGAAUUUUUCCCCUUCCAUUAAAUGGACUAGAGGAUUUUAAGUAACUAUUAUUCUUUAAUCUACUUUAAACGGGUUUCUUUCAGACUGCCUAUUUUUCAUUCAGAAGUGCAUCAACUUGAAAUUACCCACCACUUAAUGAAAAUGUUAAUUUAAGCCUGACAAUCUAACACUUUAUGAUGUGUGUGAAUGUGUUUGUGUUUUAAUUGACCCACUUAUUUAGAAUACUAGUGGUUAAAAUACAUUUGUGAUUUGAAAUAGAGCAUGUUGACCACAUUUAAACAUUGGUCAUAAAAUAACUAUUAAAAGUUAAGGAAUUAUAGAUAUCAAAAUAAAAAUUAUCUUAUUUUAGGCUUAUCUUCUCCCUUUGAUCAUAUGAAAGUAAGUUUUCAAAUUAAGUCGUUGACAAACUACUGUUUUGUGCUCUUUUGUAUUGUCUCUUUAGGUUGAGAAUAUUGUAUUAUCAGUAUGUAGUUUUAAUUAUUCAGUAGGAAGAUUUCACAGGAAAGUCAUUAAAUGUAAAAUUUAACCCAUCAUCUAAUACAAAAUCAAAACUUGGUGUAAGAAUGUGGUAUAAUGCUCUCUAUUUACUCUGUCUUUCCCUAAUUUGGAAAGACACAUAUUUGUGUAUAUAUACAUAAUAUGUAGCCUUAAAACUAAUGCAAGGUUAAAGAACAUUGGACAAAGUAAUUUAAAAUGUCUCAGAUAAGUAUAGUUUAUAUACCAGCAGAAUUCCUUCCUUUAUCCCUCUUAUGUGGGGGUGAUUAAAUGUAUUUUAAUUGUCUUUUUGUAUCCUGUAUCAGCAUGAAUGAAGAAAAUAUAAGUACUAUUUGAAUUUAUCAUUUUAAAGUAAUUUGGGUUAAAGACCACUUCCUUUUAAUGUCUAAUUCUAUUGUAGAAUGAAAACUAUCAUAAUGUCCUAAGUUAAAGCUUCUUACUCCUUACAUAAUGUGUCGUUAAUAUGACCAGCAGUUUGACUACCAGGUACACAUAUACCAGUAUAAAAAGUUGAACUCUUAGGACAUGCCUGUUCUUUACUGUAUAGACUGAAGUUUAGUUCUAGAAACAAUAAACUUUUAACUGGACUAUGGACAUUUUUGAUAUAUAAAAUCUUAAAUCACAAGUAGAAUUGUGGCAGAAAACCAUAUUUCAAAUUACAAUCACAGUGUGUCAAAAUGAAAUUUAUUAAAAAAACAAUUUUGAGAGGUCCUUUCUAAAAAAUGAGAACAUAGAAACAUUCUACUAUUACAGUUGCCAGUGUUUCACCUAGGGCUGAUGGUGAAAGAAAUGUCUAAAAUAAUUUAUUCUGGCUUUGUAUUUAGUACUUACUGUGGUCUGAGAACACUGAAUCUAUUAUCUGUGAAUAAACACUGCCGUGCUAGGUACUAAUUUUAAUUAUGAAAAUACAUGCAAUGAGUAUGUAUACCUUAUUAAAACAAUGGACUAUAUGUUUUUACUAUUCCCUGAAAAAAUUAUUAACCAUACUUUUAAAAGGCACUUUUUUUGCACCUUUGUUAUGUAUUUCAUUUAUUGUACCUAUUCAGUUUUUGUUGCUGUGCUAAGAACUUUAGCACCUCAGGGGCUGUGCCACAUAUUUUUGAAGUGUCAUGUGCUAUUUCCCUUUGGGGGAAAAUUCUUGUGUGGUAACAGUGUUGUAAUGUGGUAUUCCAAAUGUACUUUGAUUUAAAUGUUUUAAUAGAAUGGACCCAGUUUACCUAUUUAAAAAGGAAAUGGCUUGUUGUAUAGAAAUCCACUUUCAUAAACCAUAGAGAUAUGUUCCCUUUACCUUACUUAGCUCCACUGAUUUGUCAAUUUUUGUGAGUACUUUCAGCCAGAUAAAAUGUCUUAAUGGGUUUCUUUGGGGACAUGUACCUUUUAAUAGGUAACUGUGUAAUGAUCUGAGCAGUUUUCAAUAUUAACAUUGACUUUUAGAAAUCAAUAUAUAUAUUCUUUAUUAAUUCAGCAUUAAAGAUUUAUUAAAUGAAAUCUUUAUUUUAGUUAUAAAUAUUGUGUUGACCUGCUCUUGUUGUAGUAUUGAGAACCACUGCAGAAAUUGGUAAUUUCAUUUCCUGGUUUCAUAUUAAAAAGAAUCAGGAUUUUAAAAAAGAAAUGAAUGUAUCUAAUUAAGGCUUUUUGAAUUACAAAUGGUUUCAUUUCUAUAAUAUAAUCCCUUUGAUGGUAUUUUAUAUUCUAUCCACUAAUAUAACUUUUCAAUUAAUUGAGCUCCUUGAAUGUGGUGGGCAUUGUGGAGUAUUCAAACAGGCCCUAACCUUAAGAAGCUUUCAGUAUAGUAGAGAAAUUUAACUUUUGUGUGUGGCCAAUCAAAUUAAGCCAUAAAAUUGAUGUCAUUUGCCCUUCAUCCUUCCUCUCUUCACCUUUUCCUAUCCUUCAAAUUAAAAAAAAUUUUUUUUAAAGUUUGUGCUCAGCAUAAGAAGCUGAAAUUUGGUGUGUUAAGGAUUGUUUAGUCCAUGUGCUUUAUAGAUUGAACUAAAGAUAUAUAGGAACCUGUCAGGAAGAAAAUCAUGAAUCACUUAGCUCUCAAAAUAGGUUUAGGAUUUGAGCUUUAUAUUUUUUAAACAGCCAGUCUCAUCAUUAAUUAGCAGCCCAGUGUCAGUGUUCUCUUCCUUUUCAGCAAAGUGGCUCUUUGUGGCUUAAUUAUAAUUUUACUUCAUCUAAUUAUUAAACAUAUUUAUUUAGAAAUUCAAUAUUUUACCCUAUUGUGCUAUUGAAAAAAAGGAUUUUUGUUUUGUUCUUUAAGGCUCUUAAUGGAGAGAUUAAAUGAGAAGUUUAAGGAUCUAAUGCUUUGAUUUCUAAUUAUACCGUAUUACUAUAGGAUAUACUGUUAGUACAAACGUUUUCAUGUAAAUAUAUCAGAACAUAAAAACUGUUUCAGAUUGUGUAAUUUAAUGCUCUGAAGGAUCCCAGUAACCAUCUUAUAGUAGAGCUUUACAAACAUUGCAGAGAGGUUAAAUAACAGUGGUCCAAAUUUCUAAUGGAUUUAUUUUCCUUUAGGUAUUGGGACAUUUCAUGGUUUUCUUUAUUUUAAUAGUUAAUAACAUGAAAUUUUGGAUAUCUGAUUCUCCUUUGUGUCUUUUUAAGUCAUUUUCCACCACAAUGCAUAAUUAAUAAUUAAUAAUAAUAAUUAAUUAAGUUUAUUAAACUAAGGCCCUUCUUUUAAAAGUAAACAUUAUUGCAGAGUGCUAAACACUUUUUUUUUAACUAUCUCCAAAUUUCUAGGUAUGGUUUAUUAGGGGGAAAAAAUCCCUGUUCUUUACUACUUUACAUACUUCAAGUGAUUUUCAAGUAUUAUAAAUAAUAAAGAAAUAAAAUGGAAUUUGCCUUUUUCUAUUUCAUUAUCAAGUGGGCAUUUUCCAAUUUUAUUGACUUUGGCAUAGCUAGCUUCUUUCCCUUUUACCUACUUGCUAUUUUAAGCUGUUUGCUCAUGGUCCCAUGAAAUUUCUAGCAAAUGCUUAGCUGAAAAUAUUCAUUAGGAUAACAGAGUUAUCCUAUUAGGUUUAUCACUGAGAACAAGAAAAAGAAGAGGCCUGUUCAAUUUAUUUACUGCUUAUGUAGCAAAGAGAUGUGUUUUUCCCUUCUUUCACCUAAAAUGUCUUAUCCUUCUCUUUGCUCUAGUUUUUCUUUAAUUUCAUUAUCAGACUGAAACAGGCCAAUUUUGUGUUUGGUUAAAAUUGCUUGGUAUUUAGCUUCUUUAUACUGAGAAAGGGCAUAUUUAAAGGUGUCUGAAUACUUAAUAACUUUGAGGGGUCAGUGUCUGAAUCUAAUUUCUUGGGGUGGAGAACUCUCCUUUGAAAACUGCCUUCACUCUUAUUGACUCCUCUGCAAUUUUAUAGAUUUAGGUAGUUGCCUGGGGUCAUUGACAGUUACUUAAUUUGUCCAUUGUCUUUCCUGCUGAUAGUUGUAUUAAAAAGACAGGAAUUCAACUGGGGUUUUCCAGAUUCCAAGAUCAACCCCCUAUCCAUUAAUGGCAUCAUGCUGCCUUUUAUUGAAUGAUAUGUUAAAAUAGGAUUAAAAUAAAGAAGUAGCUGGAGAUAAGGAUGAGUAGGGAUGAAAAUAGUGGGCCUUUAUUAUUUUAGUAGGUACAAUAGUUCUGGAAGUCCCACUGUGAAUCGCUAAUGAUGUAGCAUCCUGUCAGGAAAAUCCAACCUUAACUUCAACCUAUAUCACUUUCUGCUGCAAGAAAUUCUUAGUGAUAAAAGUUAUUGCUCCAUCAACGAGAAAGUAACUUUUAGGAGAAUUUUGUUGAUGUAGCCAUUUAUAUUUUUUCUGAACUCAUCUGAUAAAGAUAAAAGCAGUGUUUACUAUAAAACUCUUGACCUUUCACAUUAUCACUGCACCAAAAUCCUUUAAUGAUCCUAUCUAUGGGACAUUUAAAUUUUUCUAAUUAUUUUCUCAUCAACUUUAAUGUUUAGAAAAAUUGCGUAGAGCCAUUUUGUUCUUUUGUACACAGAACCUUUUGAUCAGCCAGGAAAUUACUAUUUAAUAACAUAUUUGCAAAUAUGUGUAAUACUUUUUGAAGCAACUUAGAUUUGUGUACAUAGUUGGUUCUGCACCUACUUUCUUAAUUCAGUAAUUGCAGGUAUGAUCAGUGAGUGCCAAAAAUUCCAUAUACAUAGUAUAUUUAUAUAGUGGCAUUAUGCUAUUAGACAUUUAUAAUAUAUAAAACAAGAAAACCCCAAACAAUUAAACCCAAUAGUGAUCAAAAUGCAAGAGGACUGUUUAUUUUAGUAAAUUGUGUUAAGUUUGGAGAGCUGGGAGAAGAUGCUUAAAGGCAAGAAUUUAGCAGAAGUCUGAAAUAGAGAGUUUUUCAAAAUAACUAAUGGCUGGGCUUUUCCCUGCACAGCAGAAUAUACCCUAUAACUUUUUAAAAUUUUGUAUUUUAAGUGUUGAAUGGUGAAGGGAAAUGAUAAAGUUAGGACUAAUCUCUCUUUUUUUUUCUUUGAGGAAAUCUAAUCCUUUUCUAAGAAGAUUUGGCCCUGGAAACUUAAUUGACAGAAGAUUAAGUGGAGUUAAAAAAAAAAAAAAAAGAUUUAUGGUAGAAACAUUUAAAGCACACCUAAUAUAAUGUUUGCUAUGCACGUAAUUUAUUUUCAGAAGUUCACUAAUUUGUUUUUUUCUUUUAACCCUUGGUUAUUAGGAGAUUAAAUUUCUGGUAUUCAUUGCUGGUGUUAGAAGAAUAAAAAAAAAUAUUGCACAUAUAUUCAGGCCAUCUCUGAUUUCAAGUAAAUCUUAUGAAUCAAGUGAAAUCAAGCUAGAUUAAAGUGCUAAUAGAGAAGAAAUUAAUAAUUCUGCCCAACAAUCCCAGUCAUCAGCCCAGGGUUAAUGACAUUUUUUUCCCCAAAACACAUGUUCAAUAAAAAAAAGGUUUGACUAUUAAUUGAAGUUUGGAUUUUUUUUUUUUUGGUCACUAAUUGGAUGUUUUGAUUAAUUUUGGACCCGUCUCUAGUAGAAGUUUGAAGUAGAGAAAUUACUACUCUCUCAUCUAAUGACCUUUUAAUGAACUCAGUCUCUUUAUUGGAGAAAUACAUCUCAUAUGUAGUGCCAUGCAAUGCUGAUUGUUUUAGCUCCUGGCAUAGUAUUUAAAAUUUUUUGUGAAAAUGUAAUUUUCCCCUUUAAUUUGUAUUAAUGCUAUGAAUGAGGACAUGUAAGCUUAAAAAGCAUGUUUGCAGAAUACUUAGCUUCUUUAUAAAAUUUUAAAUUUUGAGACUAAUAUAUAAAAGCAGAACUAUUUUCCUUAAAUACAAUGUGUAAUAUUCUCCACAGUGAUUACCCACUAUUUGAAGUUUAUGUGAUCCAAAAUGUGUUUACAAUAAGUUCAAUAAAUGUAUAUUUUGUAUUGUGUACCAGUUUCUGGUCCAAAGAAAAUGUGUGAAUUUAGUUUCUAACUCUCUAAGGUAUACUUUCUGUUUUGACUCCAUUGAAGAAUUACAUUAAGCCUGUGAAUGGUUACAGAAUGUAUAUGAGAAAUGGGACUUAGAAAUAAUUUAUAGUUUUAAAAAAUGGUGCCACUAAAUAAUAAACAGGCAAUUGCAUAA
Molecule: RNA transcript, 8599 nt
Organism: Antechinus flavipes (yellow-footed antechinus)
Lineage: Eukaryota; Metazoa; Chordata; Mammalia; Dasyuromorphia; Dasyuridae
Gene: PPM1A
Gene name: protein phosphatase, Mg2+/Mn2+ dependent 1A
Exons: 6
Source: RefSeq, a predicted model, not a curated record